GAUGAAGAACGCAGCGAAAUGCGAUAAGUAAUGCGAAUUGCAGAAUUCAGUGAGUCAUCGAAUCUUUGAACGCACAUUGCGCCCGCGAGUAUUCUCGCGGGCAUGCCUGUCCGAGCGUCAUUUCAACCCUCAGGGCCCGCCUGCUUCGGCAGGCGCGGCGCUGGUGUUGGGGAUCGGCCUAACCGCCGUCCCCCAAAUACAGUGGCGGUCUCGCUGCAGCCUCCCCUGCGUAGUAGCAACACUCGCAUGCGGAGCGCGGCGCGGCCACGCCGUAAAACCCCCGACUUUCUGAACGUUGACCUCGGAUCAGGUAGGAAUACCCGCUGAACUUAAGCAUAUCAAUAAGCGGAGGA
Molecule: unclassified non-coding RNA, 353 nt
Filed under: soil metagenome
Description: partial contains 5.8S ribosomal RNA, internal transcribed spacer 2, and large subunit ribosomal RNA
Rfam family: 5.8S ribosomal RNA (bases 1-120)
Source: RNAcentral